RNAcentral lists this transfer RNA (54 nucleotides) under Cryptolophocolea spinifera. Its description in RNAcentral is "partial tRNA-Leu". The record is from RNAcentral. Lineage: Eukaryota; Viridiplantae; Streptophyta; Jungermanniopsida; Jungermanniales; Lophocoleaceae. RNAcentral also lists the same sequence under 8 other names.
GACUUAAAAUCCGUUGGCUUUUUAGACCGUGAGGGUUCAAGUCCCUCUACCCCC